CCGGCUAACUCCGUGCCAGCAGCCGCGGUAAUACGGAGGGUGCGAGCGUUAAUCGGAAUUACUGGGCGUAAAGCGCAUGCAGGCGGCCUGUUAAGUUCAGAUGUGAAAGACCCGGGGCGUUAACCUUCCGGAAAUUGCAUUUGUAAACUAGGCAGGCUAGAGUCUUGUUAGAGGGGGGUAGGGAAGUUUACUAGGUGUAGCGGUGAAAUAGCGUAGAGAUCUGAAGGAAUACCAGUGGCGAAGGCGGCCCCCUCGGACAAAGACUGACGCUCAGAUGCGAAAGCGUGGGGAGCAAACAGGAUUAGAUACCCUGGUAG
RNAcentral lists this ribosomal RNA (317 nucleotides) under uncultured bacterium. RNAcentral describes it as "bacterial SSU rRNA". It matches the Rfam family "Bacterial small subunit ribosomal RNA", at positions 493 to 793 of the family's 1533-position model. The record is from RNAcentral.